UGCGUGCCCGCCCCGCUCCGCCCCAUUAAAAUCUUUCAUGCCCCGGCCCAUUUAAGAUUUGUGCUGUCUUGCCCUGGCUUUUUUAUCCUUUUCAAAUUUUACUUGUGAAAUUUUAUUGAGAUAUUAAUAUUGUUUUUGUAUACUUAUUCCACAUUUUAUAAAUUUAUACGUAAUUUAUGCAGGUACAAUUUUAUGAGGAAAAUAAAUGAAGCAACUAAUGCUCUAUUGUUAUUGUUUUUGUUUUUGUUCUAUGCGCCGAGGGUCGAUUGGAAACAG
Molecule: long non-coding RNA, 276 nt
Filed under: Nicotiana benthamiana
Lineage: Eukaryota; Viridiplantae; Streptophyta; Magnoliopsida; Solanales; Solanaceae
Description: long non-coding RNA (NBEN_LNC001553)
Source: RNAcentral